GAUGAACGCUGGCGGCGUGCUUACNACAUGCAAGUCGAACGACCCUUCGGGUUAGUGCGGGACGGGUGAGUAACGCGUGGGAAUCUGCCCUCAGGAGGGGGAUAACGGUUGGAAACGGCCGCUAAUACCCCAUAUGCCGAGAGGUGAAAUGAAUUUCGCCUGAGGAUGAGCCCGCGUCUGAUUAGCUAGUUGGUGAGGUAAGAGCUCACCAAGGCAUCGAUCAGUAGCUGGUCUGAGAGGAUGAUCAGCCACACUGGGACUGAGACACGGCCCAGACUCCUACGGGAGGCAGCAGUGGGGAAUUUUCCGCAAUGGGCGAAAGCCUGACGGAGCAACGCCGCGUGAGGGAUGAAGGCCUCUGGGCUGUAAACCUCUUUUAUCAAGGAAGAAGAUCUGACGGUACUUGAUGAAUAAGCCACGGCUAAUUCCGUGCCAAAAGG
RNAcentral lists this ribosomal RNA (440 nucleotides) under uncultured bacterium. Its description in RNAcentral is "bacterial SSU rRNA". It matches the Rfam family "Bacterial small subunit ribosomal RNA", at positions 28 to 515 of the family's 1533-position model. The record is from RNAcentral.